RNAcentral lists this ribosomal RNA (459 nucleotides) under Veillonella parvula. RNAcentral's name for it is "bacterial SSU rRNA". It matches the Rfam family "Bacterial small subunit ribosomal RNA", at positions 28 to 462 of the family's 1533-position model. Lineage: Bacteria; Bacillati; Bacillota; Negativicutes; Veillonellales; Veillonellaceae. The record is from RNAcentral.
GACGAACGCUGGCGGCGUGCUUAACACAUGCAAGUCGAACGAAGAGCGAUGGAAGCUUGCUUCUAUCAAUCUUAGUGGCGAACGGGUGAGUAACGCGUAAUCAACCUGCCCUUCAGAGGGGGACAACAGUUGGAAACGACUGCUAAUACCGCAUACGAUCUAACCUCGGCAUCGAGGAAAGAUGAAAGGUGGCCUCUAUUUAUAAGCUAUCACUGAAGGAGGGGAUUGCGUCUGAUUAGCUAGUUGGAGGGGUAACGGCCCACCAAGGCGAUGAUCAGUAGCCGGUCUGAGAGGAUGAACGGCCACAUUGGGACUGAGACACGGCCCAGACUCCUACGGGAGGCAGCAGUGGGGAAUCUUCCGCAAUGGACGAAAGUCUGACGGAGCAACGCCGCGUGAGUGAUGACGGCCUUCGGGUUGUAAAAGCUCUGUUAAAUCGGGACGAAAGGCCCUUCUGCG